This 492-nucleotide ribosomal RNA is filed under the name uncultured Sphingobacteriales bacterium. RNAcentral's name for it is "bacterial SSU rRNA". It matches the Rfam family "Bacterial small subunit ribosomal RNA", at positions 888 to 1382 of the family's 1533-position model. The record is from RNAcentral. Lineage: Bacteria; Pseudomonadati; Bacteroidota; Sphingobacteriia; Sphingobacteriales.
CCCGCUCAGAAACUUAAAGGAAUUGACGGGGGCCCGCACAAGCGGUGGAGCAUGUGGUUUAAUUCGAUGAUACGCGAGGAACCUUACCUGGGCUCAAAUGUAUGUUGACGUAUUCUGAAAGGGAUACUUCUUCGGACAAUAUACAAGGUGCUGCAUGGUUGUCGUCAGCUCGUGCCGUGAGGUGUCGGGUUAAGUCCCAUAACGAGCGCAACCCCUAUCAUUAGUUGCCAUCAGGUCAAGCUGGGGACUCUAAUGAAACUGCCUACGCAAGUAGUGAGGAAGGUGGGGAUGACGUCAAAUCAGCACGGCCCUUACGUCCAGGGCUACACACGUGCUACAAUGGCCGGUACAAAGGGCAGCUACCUGGUGACAGGAUGCUAAUCUCAAAAGCCGGUCUCAGUUCGGAUCGGAGUCUGCAACCCGACUCCGUGAAGCUGGAUUCGCUAGUAAUCGCGCAUCAGCCAUGGCGCGGUGAAUACGUUCCCGGGCCUU